Molecule: ribosomal RNA, 253 nt
Filed under: uncultured bacterium
Lineage: Bacteria
Description: partial 16S ribosomal RNA
Rfam family: Bacterial small subunit ribosomal RNA
Source: RNAcentral
GACAGAGGGUGCAAACGUUGUUCGGAAUUACUGGGCGUAAAGCGAGUGUAGGCGGUUUUCUAAGUCAGGUGUGAAAGCCCCGGGCUCAACCCGGGAAGUGCACUUGAAACUGGAAGGCUAGAGUAUCGGAGAGGUUGGUGGAAUUCUCGGUGUAGAGGUGAAAUUCGUAGAUAUCGAGAGGAACACCGGUGGCGAAGGCGGCCAACUGGACGAAUACUGACGCUGAGACUCGAAAGCGUGGGGAGCAAACAGG